Molecule: ribosomal RNA, 253 nt
Filed under: uncultured bacterium
Lineage: Bacteria
Description: partial 16S ribosomal RNA
Rfam family: Bacterial small subunit ribosomal RNA
Source: RNAcentral
CACGUAGGGCGCGAGCGUUGUCCGGAAUUAUUGGGCGUAAAGAGCUCGUAGGCGGCCUGUUGCGUCCGCUGUGAAAGCCCGGGGCUUAACCCCGGGUCUGCAGUGGAUACGGGCAGGCUAGAGGUAGGUAGGGGAGAAUGGAAUUCCCGGUGUAGCGGUGAAAUGCGUAGAUAUCCGGAGGAACACCGGUGGCGAAGGCGGCUUCCUGGACCGACACUGACGCUGAGGCGCGAAAGCUAGGGGAGCAAACGGG